This is a long non-coding RNA of Stegodyphus dumicola, 629 nucleotides long. NCBI's taxonomy places the organism in Eukaryota, Metazoa, Arthropoda, Arachnida, Araneae, Eresidae. The record is from RefSeq and is a predicted model, not a curated record.
AAAACAAUUGCCCAGUUCACCGAACGGCGAGUUAAGCCAAACGACCGAAAGUAUAUUGAUGGUGGAAUAUUUUUGAGCUAAUGGAUAUUGAGCUGAGUUAGAAUACUUCGUCCUGUAAAAAAAAAAAAUCACUGAAGAUACAGCGUAAGUUCAUUAUCUGGGCACUCCAGCAAAACCUUCAUUGCCUUGGCAGCCCAGCCAUAUAAUCUAAUCUCACAAAAACUUCUCUUCGCUGGCGUUUCCUAGGCUUCGGAAUUCCGUUCGUUCGUGGCAGUCAUGUUCACCUGCGGUUACAAGCCAUUAGAACAGAAGAUGUAAUCCUCCUUCAAAGUUCAAAUGUUGUAGAGCAAUUCCGGCAUGGAAACUUCAUCUUCUUCUACCGGGUCCAUGCGCACCUGAAACGUAGAAUUCUGAAAAUUAAGAUUUGCGCCGAAUGCGCGUAAAAAAAUCGACCCCAAUGUCACAGACGCUCAUCACUUGUGGAAAUGUAUGAUCUUCGAAAUGUGAACUUAAGUUUGGAUACAGCUGGCCGAAAGCAACUACAGAAGUGCAACUACAGAAUUAUUCUCAAAAAGUGCAACUACAGAAUUAUUUGAAACAACAUUUUGCAUCAAGUUCAAAAAUUCAGA